This 487-nucleotide ribosomal RNA is filed under the name uncultured bacterium. RNAcentral's name for it is "bacterial SSU rRNA". It matches the Rfam family "Bacterial small subunit ribosomal RNA", at positions 30 to 512 of the family's 1533-position model. The record is from RNAcentral.
AUUGAACGCUGGCGGCAUGCCUUACACAUGCAAGUCGAACGGCAGCACGGGGACAACCCUGGUGGCGAGUGGCGAACGGGUGAGUAAUACAUCGGAAUGUACCCAGUAGUGGGGGAUAACUAGUCGAAAGAUUAGCUAAUACCGCAUACGCACUAUGGUGGAAAGCGGGGGAUCGCAAGACCUCGCGCUAUUGGAGCAGCCGAUGUCCGAUUAGGUAGUUGGUGGGGUAAAAGCCUACCAAGCCUGCGAUCGGUAACUGGUCUGAGAGGACGACCAGUCACACUGGGACUGAGACACGGCCCAGACUCCUACGGGAGGCAGCAGUGGGGAAUUUUGGACAAUGGGGAAACCCUGAUCCAGCAAUGCCGCGUGUGUGACGAAGGCCUGCGGGUUGUAAAGCACUUUCAGUGGGGAAGAACGGAUACGGGCAAUACCCCGCAUCACUGACGUUACCACAGAAGAAGCACCGGCUAAACUCCGUGCCAGC